This 538-nucleotide ribosomal RNA is filed under the name Pholiota agglutinata. RNAcentral describes it as "partial large subunit ribosomal RNA". It matches the Rfam family "Eukaryotic large subunit ribosomal RNA", at positions 75 to 614 of the family's 3401-position model. Lineage: Eukaryota; Fungi; Basidiomycota; Agaricomycetes; Agaricales; Strophariaceae. The record is from RNAcentral.
UUCCCCUAGUAACUGCGAGUGUUUGGGUGGAAAAMAAAUUUAAAAUCUGGCGACCUUUGGCCGUCCGAGUUGUAAUCUAGARAARUGUUAUCCGCGCUGGACCGUGUACAAGUCUCCUGGAAUGGAGCGUCAUAGAGGGUGAGAAUCCCGUCUUUGACACGGACUGCCAGGGCUUUGUGAUGCGCUCUCAAAGAGUCGAGUUGUUUGGGAAUGCAGCUCAAAAUGGGUGGUAAAUUCCAUCUAAAGCUAAAUAUUGGCGAGAGACCGAUAGCGAACAAGUACCGUGAGGGAAAGAUGAAAAGAACUUUGGAAAGAGAGUUAAACAGUACGUGAAAUUGCUGAAAGGGAAACGCUUGAAGUCAGUCGCGUUGUUUGGGAAUCAACCUUGCUUUUGCUGGGCGUACUUUCCAGAUGAUGGGCCAGCAUCAAUUUUGACCGUUGGAUAAAGGUUGGAGGAAUGUGGCAUCUUCGGAUGUGUUAUAGCCUCCAGUUGCAUACAACGGUUGGGAUUGARGAACUCAGCACGCCGCAAGGCCGG